This 446-nucleotide ribosomal RNA is filed under the name uncultured bacterium. RNAcentral describes it as "partial 16S ribosomal RNA". It matches the Rfam family "Bacterial small subunit ribosomal RNA", at positions 338 to 795 of the family's 1533-position model. The record is from RNAcentral.
CCUACGGGGUGCAGCAGUCGAGAAUUAUUCACAAUGGGGGAAACCCUGAUGGUGCGACGCCGCGUGGGGGAAUGAAGGUCUUCGGAUUGUAAACCCCUGUCAUGUGGGAGCAAAUUAAAAAGAUAGUACCACAAGAGGAAGAGACGGCUAACUCUGUGCCAGCAGCCGCGGUAAUCCAGAGGUAUCAAGCGUUGUUCGGAAUCACUGGGCGUAAAGCGUGCGUAGGCUGUUUCGUAAGUCGUGUGUGAAAGGCGCGGGCUCAACCCGCGGACGGCACAUGAUACUGCGAGACUAGAGUAAUGGAGGGGGAACCGGAAUUCUCGGUGUAGCAGGGAAAUGCGUAGAUAGCGAGGGGAACACUCGUGGCGAAGGCGGGUUCCUGGACAUUAACUGACGCUGAGGCACGAAGGCCAUGGGAGCGAAAGGGAUUAGAUACCCCUGUAGUC